Molecule: ribosomal RNA, 440 nt
Filed under: uncultured bacterium
Lineage: Bacteria
Description: partial 16S ribosomal RNA
Rfam family: Bacterial small subunit ribosomal RNA
Source: RNAcentral
CCUACGGGAGGCAGCAGUGGGGAAUAUUGCACAAUGGGGGAAACUCUGAUGCAGCGACGCCGCGUGAGUGAAGAAGUUUUUCGGUAUGUAAAGCUCUAUCAGCAGGGAAGAAAAUGACGGUACCUGAUUAAGAAGCCCCGGCUAACUACGUGCCAGCAGCCGCGGUAAUACGUAGUGGGCAAGCGUUAUCCGGAUUUACUGGGUGUAAAGGGAGCGUAGACGGCAGCACAAGUCUGGAGUGAAAUGCCGGGGCUUAACCCCGGAACUGCUUUGGAAACUGUGCAGCUAGAGUGCAGGAGAGGUAAGUGGAAUUCCUAGUGUAGCGGUGAAAUGCGUAGAUAUUAGGAGGAACACCAGUGGCGAAGGCGACUUACUGGACUGUAACUGACGUUGAGGCUCGAAAGCGUGGGGAGCAAACAGGAUUAGAUACCCCUGUAGUC